Molecule: long non-coding RNA, 1219 nt
Filed under: Marmota monax (woodchuck)
Lineage: Eukaryota; Metazoa; Chordata; Mammalia; Rodentia; Sciuridae
Source: RNAcentral
AUUUGAGAGUAGUAAUUCAAGAUAGAGAAAUCUGGGGCUUAUUUUCAUGUUCUUAUAUCUUACCUAUAACUGUCUUAAGAUCACCAUAAUUACAAACAGAAAAAAAUAAAUAAAGAUCUGAUUUAUGCGAAUACUAUUCUCCAAAUGAGCUGAUGUUUCUAAAAAAAUAAUGGAGAUAUUUUAGUAUGUUUUUACUAUCUGUUGCAUGGAACCUUUAGUAAACAGGAACACAGUAAUAUCUCUGACUUAUUACCAUGAUUCAACACCUAACAUGUUAAACAUUAAAAAUUUUUACUUUUAUUUAGUGGGAAAAUUUAUACACAAUGUGAAUAAACUAUUUUAUAAUCCACUGUAAAGUCUUGAAAUUGUAGAUUAACAACUCUGAGGAACAAGCCUUCUUCUGCUAAAAAAAACUAAUACCAGGUGUUUAAAAAAGAACUUGCCACAUUCUUCACAAUUGUAGGGUUUCUCUACACUAUGAAUUCUGGGGUGCAUAAUAGAGAGUGAUCCUUGAUUAAAAGUUUUGCCACACUCUUUAAAUUUGUAGUGUUGACCACUGCUAUGGUACCUGUGGUCUUUAGAAAGUGGUGUGGAACUUCCUGCUUGAACAUAUUCCUUAAAUAUGUGGGGCUCCCUUUCAGGAUGAGUUCCACUGUAUUGAGGAAUGCUUGCAGUUGGAUAAGAAGCUCUCUCCCAUUCCUCAUAUUUGCAAGGCAUCUCUUGGCUCUGAGUACUUCGAUGGUGCUUUGAGCAAUGAGGAGGGACUUUCUUACAUCUGUCAUCUUUGUGAAUGUUCUGGGCACAAUUACCACACUGAUGUUCGCUUUGAUUGCAACAAAAGCUAAAUUUGUUAUGUGUUUUGCUAGAUUCAUGCUUUUUUUUCUCCAAUGUAAGGGCACUGGUAAUUGCUUAGCAUAGAGACCUGACUGAAGGUGUUGCUUGUUUCAUCACAUGUAUUGCACACUUUCCAGAAAUCUAUAUCUGAAUUUUGAUUAAGCAGUAGGGAGUACAUAGGGGCCUUCCCACAAUCAUUAAAAGUGUAUCUUUGAGCACAAGAAUAAAUCUUUUGUUCAUUGCAGAAUGAUGGACAGAGUGUAGAGAAAUUUUCAAAAUCAACACUUUCAGAAACUUGUCCUUCAGUUAUAAAUUGAAUACUUUUCUGAGCUAUUAAAUCUUCUUGAGGACUGUCGAUAUUAUUAAGGACAUUUUUAUUAAAAAC